AUGGGAGGUUUUGAAGAUGAUGAACCGCCAUCAAAACGGGCAAGAGCAUCCUCAGUAGAAUCAGCAACUUUGUCAGACAUCCCCUGUUAUUCGAAACCCACUAAUCCUUUGGGAGGUACAAUGGCUAGACCUUUGACUUCCCAAGGGAAAGAAGUUAUGGUUGGCUCUAAAGGUUUAAUUAAGAGGGAUGAAUUUGUGAGGAUAAUCACAAAAUCUCUGUAUACUCUAGGAUAUGAAAAAACUGGAGCUGUUCUUGAGGAAGAAUCAGGUAUAAAACUGCAUUCCCCACCAGUGAAUGUUUUCAGAAAGCAGGUGCUUGAUGGGAAUUGGGACAGUGCAGUAGUUACCUUGAACACACUUGAUCUUCUGGACGAAAACAUUGUGAAGUCUGCAGUAUUUUUGUUAUUGGAGCAGAAAUUUUUUGAACUUCUGAGAAAUGGCAAUGUCAUGGGUGCUAUGAAGACGCUGCAAAGUGAGAUCUCCCCCCUUGGCAUUAACAGAAAAAGAGUUCAUGAAAUGGCAAGUUGCUUAAUUUCUUCUCCGCAAAAUGUCUUGGUUGGUUUUUCAAAGCCUGGAAUUGAAUCUUCUAACUCACGGUUUAAGCUCCUAGAGGAACUGCAAAAGGUGCUCCCCCCUACCAUUAUGGUACCUGAGAGGAGGUUAGAGAAUUUAGUUGAACAGGCACUUACUGUACAACGUGAAGCUUGUUAUCUCCAUAAUUCUGUUGAUGGCCCGUCACUCUAUAUCGAUCAUCACUGUGGGAGAGAUCAGAUACCAUCUCAAGCGCUGCAGGUUUUGUGUGCACACCGUGACGAAGUAUGGUUUCUCCAAUUUUCGAACAAUGGGAAGUAUUUAGCAUCGGCAUCAAAUGAUAAAACUGCAGUCAUAUGGAAGGUUGAUGAAGAUGGAGAACUAUUGCUGAAGCAUACAUUGACUGGUCAUGAGAAACCAGUGAUGAUGGUUGCAUGGAGCCCUGAUGAUUGCCAGCUUCUCACAUGUGGAAUGGAAGAAGUCAUCCGGCGCUGGGAUGUUGAAUCUGGCGAAUGUAUACAUGUUUAUGAAAAAUCUGGCGUUGGUCUGUUGUCAUGUGGUUGGUUUCCAGAUGGAAAGCAAAUAUUGUCUGGUUUAAAUGAUCAAAGCCUUUGCUUGUGGGAUUUAGAUGGAAAACAAGCAGAUUGCUGGGAAGGGCAGAGGUCAACGAAAACAUCUGACUUUGCUGUCUCAAAAGAUGGCAAACUUAUAAUAAGCACCAGUAGAGAUUCCGCAAUUCUGUUAUUCAAUAGGGACACAAAACAGGAGAGGCUGAUUGAAGAGGAGCAUACAGUCACUUCAUUUUCUCUUUCGGAAGAUGGCGAUUUCUUGCUUGUAAAUCUUAUAAAUGAGCAGAUUCAUUUGUGGAACAUAAGGAAUGAUCCCAUUCAAGUUAAACAGUACACUGGCCAUAAGCGCAGCCGGUUUGUGAUAAGGUCAUGUUUCGGUGGAUCUGAGCAGGCCUUUAUUGCCAGUGGAAGCGAAGACGCAAAGGUCUAUAUAUGGCACAGAGCUAGUGGAGAUGUUAUCGAGACCCUGUCUGGCCACUCGGGUGCGGUCAACUGCGUAAGCUGGAACCCUACAAAUCCACAUAUGCUUGCAUCUGCGAGUGAUGAUCAUACCAUUCGCAUAUGGGGGCUAAAGAAAGCCACCGUGAAGCGAAGGGACGCAGGCAGCAGCAGCGGCAGUAAUGGGAUCCACAUGAACGGCAGUGCCAACGGCAACGGUUUUGUUCACCAGUGCAACGGAAGCCGCAGCAAGUGA
This 1794-nucleotide ribosomal RNA is filed under the name Triticum aestivum (bread wheat). Its description in RNAcentral is "partial small subunit ribosomal RNA". Lineage: Eukaryota; Viridiplantae; Streptophyta; Magnoliopsida; Poales; Poaceae. The record is from RNAcentral.